Molecule: small RNA, 462 nt
Filed under: Arthrographis longispora
Lineage: Eukaryota; Fungi; Ascomycota; Dothideomycetes; Eremomycetales; Eremomycetaceae
Description: eukaryotic LSU rRNA
Rfam family: 5.8S ribosomal RNA (bases 149-302)
Source: RNAcentral
UACCGAGUGCCGGGCGCAAGCCCGUCUUCGCACACCCUCUGUCGACUCUCCGCAGUUGCUUCGGCGGCGGCCCUUGCGGCCCCGCCGGAGAACCCCCCCAAACGCAUGGCAAACCGGUCUGUCCGAGGCUAUACGCGAAAUCAGUCAAAACUUUUAACAACGGAUCUCUUGGUUCGGGCAUCGAUGAAGAACGCAGCGAAAUGCGAUACGUAAUGUGAAUUGCAGAAUUCAGUGAAUCAUCGAAUCUUUGAACGCACAUUGCGCCCGUCGGCAUUCCGACGGGCACGCCUGUCCGAGCGUCAUUGCACCCGUCAAGCCUCGCUUGGUGUUGGGGGACGUCGCGCCUCGCGCGCGACCCCCCCGGAACCCGUUGGCGGUGGCCCUUCGCCCCGAUCGUCGCGCUCGUUACGACGGCGCGGGGGGACCGCCCGCCCAACCGGCUGGCAACAAACGCUGACCUCG